This 82-nucleotide microRNA precursor is filed under the name Podarcis lilfordi (Lilford's wall lizard). Lineage: Eukaryota; Metazoa; Chordata; Lepidosauria; Squamata; Lacertidae. The record is from RNAcentral.
GCGAAAGCAAUGCGAAGCCUCCGGAGUGCGGUGGGAGUGCUCCCACUGCACUUCUGAGGCUUCGCGUUGCUAUCGCUGAAGC